GGUUGCCUGGGAUAUGCUGCCUGUCCCAUGCUGGAGAAUCAACUUACUGGAGGUGCCCCCCCGCCAAGCCACAGGAGCAGAGAGCUGUCACGGUGGGGAAUGCUGCUGGGACCCGUGCAGGACGAAAGGAGACAGAAGAAAAAGGCCAUCUUCCUCCUCUAGCCUUGUUAGCCCCUUCAGAGCCCACUGUGGGUCAGGCUGGCAAAGGGUAAAGGAGUUUUCAGAGCCCCCUCUUCAGUGUGACAAGGAAGGGCAAGGUCAGGGAAAUUUGGAGUUAAGAGGCAAUAAAUGAGUACCUGGCACACCUAGUCGAGGUGUGUCCACUUUCUCCAUAGCAUGGUUACUGUUUUUUUCUUUUCAACUAAUAAGAAAUCUCUGGAGACACACUGUCUCCAUGUACAUACCCUGUUCCUCAUGAGACUCUUCCCCAUUCCCCGACCAGGUUCAGCAAAUGUUGCUGAUUCUGGCCUGAUUCAAUCUUUAUGAUGACUGCCAAGCGACGUUUCUGCAGCCCAGCACUCCUUCCUCAUUUGCCAGUCAUCCCUCCCUUCUCCUUCAUUUAUUUUCAUAUAUCCACUAUGGAUUCCCAUUUUUUCAAAAGUCGACUUCAUCAUUGACCUUUGGGGAUGGGGGAAGAGUUCCUCAGAUAGUUCCCGACUUGGCCAGCGAGAGCCCCUUCGAGUGCCUCCUAUAUCCCAGCAUUUUUGGAAGCACUCCCCUAAUUUCUGAUCUAACAAGAUGUUCCAGGCCCCUGGGCACCAGCCAUGGAUCAGUGUUUGUCCCAGGAGCCCUGGUCCCUGGCACUAGGUGUGCUUAUUGCAGCUGGGGUGUCUUUGCUUCUUGUCCUAUAGAUGAUUGACAGAGCUUGUCUUACUGCCUUUUUUAAGUGUAUUUUUUUAAACAAAAGUAAUUGGUGCUUUAAAAAAUGUGAACAAUACAGACAUCUGUAAAGAAGUACCCACAGGGAAGCAAGUUCAGCAGUUCAGCAAUGGCAUGUGUCUUUGCAGACUACAUACACAGAAACAGACUUGGUAUUGGGUUUUGGUUUUUGCUUUUUGCUAAUAGGAAUUUUAUCCUACAAGAUCCUCUUUCUGUCUUCACAACAUAGUCUGAUGCUCCUUCCAUGUCUAACUGUAGGAUUUGUCAUUCCAUUGUGUUAGCUGUGUGGGUACAUUAGUACCAUGAUUAACCAAGGUGUAUAAAGGGCAGGCCUGCAGGCUGCCUCCAGUGCCUCCACUACUCGCCACAGUGAUCAUCUCUAUACACACACUGCAGUCAUUUACAAUUUUUAAAAUGAAAACAAUUUUUAUUGAGAUGCAAUUCACAUGGCAUAAAAUUAACGAUUUUAAAGUAAA
This 1355-nucleotide long non-coding RNA is filed under the name Homo sapiens (human). RNAcentral describes it as "long non-coding RNA NONHSAT047419.2". Lineage: Eukaryota; Metazoa; Chordata; Mammalia; Primates; Hominidae. The record is from RNAcentral.